Non-coding RNA from Brachypodium distachyon (stiff brome), 116 nucleotides. The record is from Rfam. Lineage: Eukaryota; Viridiplantae; Streptophyta; Magnoliopsida; Poales; Poaceae.
CUAUUACUCCCUCCGACCCAUAUUACUUGUCUCAAAUUUGCCCAAAUAUGGAUGUAUCUAUGUUUAAAAAGCGUCUAGAUAUUUCGACAAGUAAUAUGGGUCGGAGGGAGUAUAUA